This 169-nucleotide unclassified non-coding RNA is filed under the name uncultured Ascomycota. Its description in RNAcentral is "sequence contains ITS1". Lineage: Eukaryota; Fungi; Ascomycota. The record is from RNAcentral.
CUGCUUGCUCAUGGCCGCCGAGAGGGGAAACCCCUUGGCGGUACGGCAACACCCACCCUUGUCUAUGUAUACCUUUCGUUAUUUCCCUCGGCGGGGCAACCCGCCGCUGGGGACAUCAAAACCCUCUUGUAUCAAGCAUCAAAACUUCUGAAUCAAACCUAGAAUAUAA